GUUUGCAUUUGAGUUUGAAUUGUAAUUUUUCUUGCGAAUAUUUUCUAACUAGAACGAAGUUUGUCAGUUAGCUUUAGUUUGAUUGUUUCCAAUUCUGUUCUAUUCAUUGUUGUCCACGUACUAGUGGUAGUAUAAAUAUUUUCGUUCUGCUUAAAGUGUGAUGGCAGUACGGCAGAUCAUACAAGGAAUGCUGAGACAUGAAAUCACAUUCAUACCACUUGGGGAAUAUAUGGUCAUCCUAUGUUGAAAAUAAACUACAAGAUACUGAUUAUAUUAGUUAUAAUGGAUUUAUGCAAUAUGGCAGUAUAGCAGAUCUGUCAUGGCAUGCUGAGUAAUGAAUUGGCUUUCAGAACACUUGGGGAAAGUAUCCACACAGCAUGUUGAAAAUGGACGAGGAGAUACUGAUAAUAAUAAUGGAUAUAUGCAAUAUGGCAGCAGAGCAGAUUACACAGGGAAUGCUGAGAGAAGAAUUCACUUUCAUUCCACUUGGCGAAAAUAUCAACAUCCUAUGUAGAAAAUGAACUUCAAGAUACUGAAAUAAUAAUAAUACAAGAUUUGUGCAAUGGACGUGUAAUGGUUAUUGAAUAUGGCAGUACGGCAGAUCAUACAAGGAAUGCUGAGACAUGAAAUCACAUUCAUACCACUUGGGGAAUAUAUGGUCAUCCUAUGUUGAAAAUAAACUACAAGAUACUGAUUAUAUUAGUUAUAAUGGAUUUAUGCAAUAUGGCAGUAUAGCAGAUCUGUCAUGGCAUGCUGAGUAAUGAAUUGGCUUUCAGAACACUUGGGGAAAGUAUCCACACAGCAUGUUGAAAAUGGACGAGGAGAUACUGAUAAUAAUAAUGGAUAUAUGCAAUAUGGCAGCAGAGCAGAUUACACAGGGAAUGCUGAGAGAAGAAUUCACUUUCAUUCCACUUGGCGAAAAUAUCAACAUCCUAUGUAGAAAAUGAACUUCAAGAUACUGAAAUAAUAAUAAUACAAGAUUUGUGCAAUGGACGUGUAAUGGUUAUUGAAUAUGGCAGUACGGCAGAUCAUACAAGGAAUGCUGAGACAUGAAAUCACAUUCAUACCACUUGGAGAAUAUAUCGUCAUCCUAUGUUGAAAAUAAACUACAAGAUACUGAUUAUAUUAGUUAUAAUGGAUUUAUGCAAUCUACGGAUGGCAGUAUAGCAGAUCUGUCAUGGCAUGCUGAGUAAUGAAUUGGCUUUCAGAACACUUGGGGAAAGUAUCCACACAGCAUGUUGAAAAUGGACGAGGAGAUACUGAUAAUAAUAAUGGAUAUAUGCAAUAUGGCAGCAGAGCAGAUUACACAGGGAAUGCUGAGAGAAGAAUUCACUUUCAUUCCACUUGGCGAAAAUAUCAACAUCCUAUGUAGAAAAUGAACUUCAAGAUACUGAAAUAAUAAUAAUACAAGAUUUGUGCAAUGGACGUGUAAUGGUUAUUGAAUAUGGCAGUACGGCAGAUCAUACAAGGAAUGCUGAGACAUGAAAUCACAUUCAUACCACUUGGGGAAUAUAUGGUCAUCCUAUGUUGAAAAUAAACUACAAGAUACUGAUUAUAUUAGUUAUAAUGGAUUUAUGCAAUAUGGCAGUAUAGCAGAUCUGUCAUGGCAUGCUGAGUAAUGAAUUGGCUUUCAGAACACUUGGGGAAAGUAUCCACACAGCAUGUUGAAAAUGGACGAGGAGAUACUGAUAAUAAUAAUGGAUAUAUGCAAUAUGGCAGCAGAGCAGAUUACACAGGGAAUGCUGAGAGAAGAAUUCACUUUCAUUCCACUUGGCGAAAAUAUCAACAUCCUAUGUAGAAAAUGAACUUCAAGAUACUGAAAUAAUAAUAAUACAAGAUUUGUGCAAUGGACGUGUAAUGGUUAUUGAAUGUAAUUUAUAGUAAAUGAAUAGUUGUGAAACAAUUGAAAUUUGUUAAAAAUCUUAAUAAAAUAUUGGUAAACACCUUCAGCUUGGAAUUUUCGUUCUUAAAAUUUGCCAUAGCUAUAAAAAUGGUUUUAUUAUUACUUCACGUCUACAUGAUCAUUUUGAAGAAAAUCACCAAUUUCAUAUUUUACGGUAUUCAUAAAACAGUCAAUAUUAUGUUAGUGUCAUGAAACUCUGUCAAUUAGAUUAAGAAUAUGAUUCUAAUUUACCAUUGUUAACUUUCAUUUAUUUCAUUAACCCUGAUAUUUUAAAAACCCUAUAAAACAUGAUUUUAUAUGAUAAUUUUGACGAAUAUUGUAAAUUCCAAUUUUUUACUGCAUAUAAAACACUCAGUUAUCACAGGUUAGUGUGUUGAAACCUCGUCGUUUAGAUUAAGAAGAAAAUGGUUCCAUUAUACCAUUAUUAACUUUCUUAUGUUUCAUUUAACACGAUGUUUUAAAAACACUGAAAAAUAUGUUUUCGUAUGGUAACUUUGACUGAAAUUACAAAUUUAUAUUUUUUCCAUAUUAAAAUGCAGCAUUUCUAAGUUAUUCAAACAGCGCAUUCCUUAGUUGAAUUUAUUUUACAUUCAAAUUCAACAAAACAUCGGAGUAUUUUUCUACUAUCUUUUGUCGCUUAUCAUGAUUAUUAUUUCUUAUCAUCUGUUAUAAGUUUAUCUUUCGUAUUAUUAUCUUCUUUCAGUUUUACUUUCGUAUUUGCAUUUGAGUUUGAAUUGUAAUUUUUCUUGCGAAUAUUUUCUAACUAGAACGAAGUUUGUCAGUUAGCUUUAGUUUGAUUGUUUCCAAUUCUGUUCUAUUCAUUGUUGUCCACGUACUAGUGGUAGUAUAAAUAUUUUCGUUCUCCUUAAAGUGUGAUGGCAGUACGGCAGAUCAUACAAGGAAUGCUGAGACAUGAAAUCACAUUCAUACCACUUGGAGAAUAUAUCGUCAUCCUAUGUUGAAAAUAAACUACAAGAUACUGAUUAUAUUAGUUAUAAUGGAUUUAUGCAAUCUACGGAUGGCAGUAUAGCAGAUCUGUCAUGGCAUGCUGAGUAAUGAAUUGGCUUUCAGAACACUUGGGGAAAGUAUCCACACAGCAUGUUGAAAAUGGACGAGGAGAUACUGAUAAUAAUAAUGGAUAUAUGCAAUAUGGCAGCAGAGCAGAUUACACAGGGAAUGCUGAGAGAAGAAUUCACUUUCAUUCCACUUGGCGAAAAUAUCAACAUCCUAUGUAGAAAAUGAACUUCAAGAUACUGAAAUAAUAAUAAUACAAGAUUUGUGCAAUGGACGUGUAAUGGUUAUUGAAUGUAAUUUAUAGUAAAUGAAUAGUUGUGAAACAAUUGAAAUUUGUUAAAAAUCUUAAUAAAAUAUUGGUAAACACCUUCAGCUUGGAAUUUUCGUUCUUAAAAUUUGCCAUAGCUAUAAAAAUGGUUUUAUUAUUACUUCACGUCUACAUGAUCAUUUUGAAGAAAAUCACCAAUUUCAUAUUUUACGGUAUUCAUAAAACAGUCAAUAUUAUGUUAGUGUCAUGAAACUCUGUCAAUUAGAUUAAGAAUAUGAUUCUAAUUUACCAUUGUUAACUUUCAUUUAUUUCAUUAACCCUGAUAUUUUAAAAACCCUAUAAAACAUGAUUUUAUAUGAUAAUUUUGACGAAUAUUGUAAAUUCCAAUUUUUUACUGCAUAUAAAACACUCAGUUAUCACAGGUUAGUGUGUUGAAACCUUGUCGUUUAGAUUAAGAAGAAAAUGGUUCCAUUAUACCAUUAUUAACUUUCUUAUGUUUCAUUUAACACGAUGUUUUAAAAACACUGAAAAAUAUGUUUUCGUAUGGUAACUUUGACUGAAAUUACAAAUUUAUAUUUUUUCCAUAUUAAAAUGCAGCAUUUCUAAGUUAUUCAAACAGCGCAUUCCUUAGUUGAAUUUAUUUUACAUUCAAAUUCAACAAAACAUCGGAGUAUUUUUCUACUAUCUUUUGUCGCUUAUCAUGAUUAUUAUUUCUUAUCAUCUGUUAUAAGUUUAUCUUUCGUAUUAUUAUCUUCUUUCAGUUUUACUUUCGUAUUUGCAUUUGAGUUUGAAUUGUAAUUUUUCUUGCGAAUAUUUUCUAACUAGAACGAAGUUUGUCAGUUAGCUUUAGUUUGAUUGUUUCCAAUUCUGUUCUAUUCAUUGUUGUCCACGUACUAGUGGUAGUAUAAAUAUUUUCGUUCUCCUUAAAGUGUGAUGGCAGUACGGCAGAUCAUACAAGGAAUGCUGAGACACGAAAUCACAUUCAUACCACUUGGGGAAUAUAUCGUCAUCCUAU
Molecule: long non-coding RNA, 4200 nt
Organism: Rhopalosiphum maidis (corn leaf aphid)
Lineage: Eukaryota; Metazoa; Arthropoda; Insecta; Hemiptera; Aphididae
Exons: 17
Source: RefSeq, a predicted model, not a curated record